Molecule: ribosomal RNA, 166 nt
Filed under: uncultured bacterium
Lineage: Bacteria
Description: partial 16S rRNA
Rfam family: Bacterial small subunit ribosomal RNA
Source: RNAcentral
UAGGGGAAUCUUUCCGACAAUGGGCGAAAGCCUGAUGGAGCAACGCCGCGUGUGUGAUGAAGGGUUUCGGCUCGUAAACACUGUUGUAAGAGAAGAAUGACAUUGAGAGUAACUGUUCAAUGUGUGACGGUAUCUUACCAGAAAGGAACGGCUAAAUACGUGCCAG